This is a non-coding RNA of Aegilops tauschii subsp. strangulata, 396 nucleotides long. Lineage: Eukaryota; Viridiplantae; Streptophyta; Magnoliopsida; Poales; Poaceae. The record is from RefSeq and is a predicted model, not a curated record.
GCUUCAAGGAUUUGGAAGUUGACGAGUUCUCGUGACAAGAUUAAGGGGGUGAUUGUGAGAUAUUAAUCUUGUCAUUUUGUUAGUAGAACAUAAUUAGUGGCUGCGUCUGCAUGUUGCUAGCUUGGUUGCGUCGUAGUUAGUUACCGAGGAGUGGAUCGAGUGAUUCGGUCAGCACAAAAGUGUUUAGUUUCCAUGCAUGUAGGAUCAUGUGAGUGGUCAGCCAAGUGAUUUGGCCGAGUCAAGUUAGUGGCCGUUGUGUUAGCUAGUGGUUAGUGCAUGGAGAGUUUAGUGGAGUUAGUGGAGUAUGGCGUGAGUGUGGGUCUUGGCUGAGUGCCAAACUUUGUAUAAAUAGUCAUCUGAUUUAGUAAUGGAGAGCAGCCGAGAGGGCUGGGUAAA